RNAcentral lists this transfer RNA (86 nucleotides) under Lachnospiraceae bacterium. RNAcentral describes it as "tRNA-Ser". It matches the Rfam family "tRNA". Rfam says of the family: Transfer RNA (tRNA) molecules are approximately 80 nucleotides in length. Their secondary structure includes four short double-helical elements and three loops (D, anti-codon, and T loops). The record is from RNAcentral. Lineage: Bacteria; Bacillati; Bacillota; Clostridia; Lachnospirales; Lachnospiraceae.
GGAGAGCUACCGAAGCGGUCAUAACGGGGCGGUCUUGAAAACCGUUAGGGCGAAAGCCCACAGGGGUUCGAAUCCCUUGCUCUCCG